Molecule: ribosomal RNA, 413 nt
Filed under: uncultured Candidatus Saccharibacteria bacterium
Lineage: Bacteria; Candidatus Saccharimonadota
Description: bacterial SSU rRNA
Rfam family: Bacterial small subunit ribosomal RNA
Source: RNAcentral
AACGCGAAGAACCUUACCCAGGCUUGACAUUCUGCGAAUCUUUCCGAAAGGAGAGAGUGCUUUAUUGAGCGCAGUAACAGGUGUUGCAUGGCCGUCGUCAGCUCGUGUCGUGAGAUGUUUGGUUAAGUCCAUCAACGAGCGCAACCCUUAUAGUUAGUUGAAUUUUUCUAGCUAGACCGCCCUGGUAACAGGGAGGAAGGAGGGGAUGAUGUCAGGUCAGUAUUACCCUUAUGUCUGGGGCUACAAACACGCUACAAUGGCCGGUACAAAGGGCUGCCAAGUCGCGAGACGGAGCAAAUCCCAUCAAAGCCGGUCUCAGUUCGGAUAGUAGGCUGAAACUCGCCUGCUUGAAGCUGGAAUCGCUAGUAACGGUAGGUCAGCACACUACCGUGAAUACGUUCCCGGGCCUUGUA